GACAGAGGGUGCAAACGUUGUUCGGAAUUACUGGGCGUAAAGCGUGUGUAGGCGGUUUGGUAAGUCGGAUGUGAAAGCCCUGGGCUCAACCCAGGAAGUGCACUCGAAACUGCCAAGCUAGAGUAUCGGAGAGGUUGGUGGAAUUCUCGGUGUAGAGGUGAAAUUCGUAGAUAUCGAGAGGAACACCGGUGGCGAAGGCGGCCAACUGGACGAAUACUGACGCUGAGACACGAAAGCGUGGGGAGCAAACAGG
This 253-nucleotide ribosomal RNA is filed under the name uncultured bacterium. RNAcentral's name for it is "partial 16S ribosomal RNA". It matches the Rfam family "Bacterial small subunit ribosomal RNA", at positions 524 to 776 of the family's 1533-position model. The record is from RNAcentral.